GCCGUGAGACUAGUCCAAGAACACCCACAAAAAUUAAUCGCGCCAAAACAAAACAUUUGACACAGUCAGUAAAGGAGAUUGAAAAUUUACUUGGCACUAUAGUUAUAGUACCGCAAGGGAAAGUUGAAAAACAGUUAAAAACCAAGCGAAAAAAAGCAGAGUUAGGCCCUCGUACCUUUUGCAUCAUGGUUUAGCAAGAUAAACCCUGACAAGAAGAACCAUAGUCAGAGCACCCGAAACCAAGUGAGCUACUUUUAAGCAGCUAAAAGAGCGUAUCCCCCUCUGUAGCAAAAGAGCGGAAAGACUUAAAAGUAGAGGUGAAACGCCAACCGAACUUGGCAAUAGCUGGUUGUUCAAAAAUAAGAAUCUUAGUUCUACUUUAGUACACACAAAUAUGCCAAGAUAACACUAAAGGAAGUCUUUAGGGGGACAGCUCUAAAGAUCCGGGAUACAACCCGUAGCUGUGAGCAAUAUUAUUAAUUUUUUGCAAAAAUAGCGUCUAAGCAUAAUAAUUAAAAAUCUCACAAGUAAUUAACUUCUCCAGCAAACAUACGAACAACUCUAUUUAAAUAGAGGCUCUUAUGCUAAAACUAUUAAUAUGAGCAACAACUCUACCUGCGCAUUCAUCACUCAAAUACUACCGAUAAUUAACAGACCAAAAAAGGGUGAGCACAACCUAAUUAAUAAGUCCUUUAAACACUGUGAGUCCAACCCAGGUGCGCAAUAAUGGUAAAAUUAAAAGUUACAAAAGGAACUCGGCAAACACAGAUUCCAACUGUUUACCAAAAACAUAGCCUUUAGCUAAAUAAGUAUUGAAGGUAAUGCCUGCCCAGUGAAAUCACUUUCAACGGCCGCGGUACCCUAACCGUGCAAAGGUAGCGUAAUCAUUUGUCCACUAAUUAUGGACCCGUAUGAAAGGCCACAUGAGAAUCUAACUGUCUCCUGUAACCAAUUUAUAAAACUGAUCUUCCAGUCCAAAAGCUGGAAUACACUUAUAAGACGAGAAGACCCUGUGAAGCUUAAAAAAUCCUAUUAAACCUAGUAAUAGGUAUUUUUAGUUGGGGCAACUUUGGAAAAUAAUUUAACUUCCAAAAAUAAAACAAUAUUACACCAAGACCUACAAGUCAAUUAAGACCCAGUAUAACUGAUAAGUGGACCAAGUUACUCCAGGGAUAACAGCGCAAUCUUCUUCAAGAGCCCAUAUCAAAAGGAAGGUUUACGACCUCGAUGUUGGAUCAGGACACCCAAAUGGCGCAGCCGCUAUUAAAGGUUCGUUUGUUCAACG
RNAcentral lists this ribosomal RNA (1285 nucleotides) under Typhlops jamaicensis. RNAcentral's name for it is "partial 16S ribosomal RNA". It matches the Rfam family "Bacterial large subunit ribosomal RNA", at positions 255 to 2586 of the family's 2925-position model. Lineage: Eukaryota; Metazoa; Chordata; Lepidosauria; Squamata; Typhlopidae. The record is from RNAcentral.